GGGGAUUUAGCUCAGUGGUAGAGCGCUUGCCUAGGAAGCGCAAGGCCCGGCCCUGGGUUUGGUUCCCAGCUCCG
Non-coding RNA from Rattus norvegicus (Norway rat), 74 nucleotides. NCBI's taxonomy places the organism in Eukaryota, Metazoa, Chordata, Mammalia, Rodentia, Muridae. The record is from Rfam.